CUGAACCAGCCAAGUAGCGUGAAGGAUGACUGCCCUAUGGGUUGUAAACUUCUUUUAUACGGGAAUAAAGUGAGGCACGUGUGCCUUUUUGUAUGUACCGUAUGAAUAAGGAUCGGCUAACUCCGUGCCAGCAGCCGCGGUAAUACGGAGGAUCCGAGCGUUAUCCGGAUCUAUUGGGUUUAAAGGGAGCGUAGGCGGACGCUUAAGUCAGUUGUGAAAGUUUGCGG
RNAcentral lists this ribosomal RNA (227 nucleotides) under uncultured bacterium. Its description in RNAcentral is "partial 16S ribosomal RNA". It matches the Rfam family "Bacterial small subunit ribosomal RNA", at positions 383 to 607 of the family's 1533-position model. The record is from RNAcentral.